CUUCAGGUACAUUUUGAGGACUCUGAUAUGAUGGCAUCCCCACCUGCAUAGUAUAAGAGUAUCCCAAAGACCCUCUCUUCCUCCUGAAACAAGUAUGAUGAAGCUGUAACUCCAAGGAGAUGGGUUCAAAGAAGGAUUGAUCCACUUAAAGAUCCGAGCCUCCUAUGCUUAUUUCUUCAUUCAUUUUUGUUGUUGUUGUUGUUGUUCAUUUCAAGGUGAGGGGAAUACCUGUAGCUGCCAAAAAGAAUUCACACUGGAAGGAGUCCCUCCAGAGAGAUGGGUAAAUGUUUGGGAUACUCCAUCAUACCUCAAAAUAAAUCCAACAGAUGGUG
This is a non-coding RNA of Ictidomys tridecemlineatus (thirteen-lined ground squirrel), 332 nucleotides long. Lineage: Eukaryota; Metazoa; Chordata; Mammalia; Rodentia; Sciuridae. The record is from RefSeq and is a predicted model, not a curated record.